Betta splendens (Siamese fighting fish) is the source of this 119-nucleotide ribosomal RNA. NCBI's taxonomy places the organism in Eukaryota, Metazoa, Chordata, Actinopteri, Anabantiformes, Osphronemidae. The record is from Ensembl.
ACUUACGGCCAUACCACCCAAAGCAAGCCCGAUCUCGUUUGAUCUCGGAAGCUCAGCAGGGUCGGGCCUGGUUAGUACUUGGAUGGGAGACCGCCUGGGAAUACCAGGUGCUGUAAGCG